Molecule: ribosomal RNA, 253 nt
Filed under: uncultured bacterium
Lineage: Bacteria
Description: partial 16S ribosomal RNA
Rfam family: Bacterial small subunit ribosomal RNA
Source: RNAcentral
UACGGAGGGUGCAAGCGUUAUCCGGAUUCACUGGGUUUAAAGGGUGCGUAGGCGGACAGGUAAGUCAGUGGUGAAAUCUCUGGGCUUAACCCAGAAACUGCCGUUGAUACUAUUUGUCUUGAAUAUCCUGGAGGUAGGCGGAAUAUGUCAUGUAGCGGUGAAAUGCUUAGAUAUGACAUAGAACACCGAUAGCGAAGGCAGCUUACUACACAGUAAUUGACACUGAGGCACGAAAGCGUGGGGAUCAAACAGG